AUUGAACGCUGGCGGCAGGCUUAACACAUGCAAGUCGAACGAUGACUCUCUAGCUUGCUAGAGAAGAUUAGUGGCGGACGGGUGAGUAACAUUUAGGAAUCUGCCUAGUAGUGGGGGAUAGCUCGGGGAAACUCGAAUUAAUACCGCAUACGACCUACGGGUGAAAGGGGGCGCAAGCUCUUGCUAUCAGAUGAGCCUAAAUCAGAUUAGCUAGUUGGUGGGGUAAAGGCCCACCAAGGCGACGAUCUGUAACUGGUCUGAGAGGAUGAUCAGUCACACCGGAACUGAGACACGGUCCGGACUCCUACGGGAGGCAGCAGUGGGGAAUAUUGGACAAUGGGGGCAACCCUGAUCCAGCCAUGCCGCGUGUGUGAAGAAGGCCUUUUGGUUGUAAAGCACUUUAAGCAGGGAGGAGAGGCUAAUGGUUAAUACCCAUUAGAUUAGACGUUACCUGCAGAAUAAGCACCGGCUAACUCUGUGCCAGCAGCCGCGGUAAUACAGAGGGUGCGAGCGUUAAUCGGAAUUACUGGGCGUAAAGCGAGUGUAGGUGGCUCAUUAAGUCACAUGUGAAAUCCCCCGGGCUUAACCUGGGAACUGCAUGUGAUACUGGUGGUGCUAGAAUAUGUGAGAGGGAAGUAGAAUUCCCAGGUGUAGCGGUGAAAUGCGUAGAGAUCUGGAGGAAUACCGAUGGCGAAGGCAGCUUCCUGGCAUAAUAUUGACACUGAGAUUCGAAAGCGUGGGUAGCAAACAGGAUUAGAUACCCUGGUAGUCCACGCCGUAAACGAUGUCUACUAGCCGUUGGGGUCCUUGAGACUUUAGUGGCGCAGUUAACGCGAUAAGUAGACCGCCUGGGGAGUACGGCCGCAAGGUUAAAACUCAAAUGAAUUGACGGGGGCCCGCACAAGCGGUGGAGCAUGUGGUUUAAUUCGAUGCAACGCGAAGAACCUUACCUGGUCUUGACAUAGUGAGAAUCUCUCAGAGAUGAGAGAGUGCCUUCGGGAACUCACAUACAGGUGCUGCAUGGCUGUCGUCAGCUCGUGUCGUGAGAUGUUGGGUUAAGUCCCGCAACGAGCGCAACCCUUUUCCUUAUUUGCCAGCGGGUUAAGCCGGGAACUUUAAGGAUGCUGCCAGUGACAAACUGGAGGAAGGCGGGGACGACGUCAAGUCAUCAUGGCCCUUACGACCAGGGCUACACACGUGCUACAAUGGUAGGUACAGAGGGUUGCUACACAGCGAUGUGAUGCUAAUCUCAAAAAGCCUAUCGUAGUCCGGAUUGGAGUCUGCAACUCGACUCCAUGAAGUCGGAAUCGCUAGUAAUCGCGGAUCAGAAUGCCGCGGUGAAUACGUUCCCGGGCCU
This 1357-nucleotide ribosomal RNA is filed under the name uncultured bacterium. RNAcentral's name for it is "bacterial SSU rRNA". It matches the Rfam family "Bacterial small subunit ribosomal RNA", at positions 28 to 1381 of the family's 1533-position model. The record is from RNAcentral.